Molecule: long non-coding RNA, 1297 nt
Organism: Gasterosteus aculeatus aculeatus (three-spined stickleback)
Lineage: Eukaryota; Metazoa; Chordata; Actinopteri; Perciformes; Gasterosteidae
Source: Ensembl
GUGCAAAUAAAGACAGGUAACAGACACUGUAUUUAUUCUCUCUUAUCCAGCCACCAGAAAACAAGAGCUGGAUGAAGCCCUCGUCUCCAUGAUAGUGAAGGACACACAGCCCUUCAGUAUUGUCGAUGAUGUUGGAUUCAGGGCAUUUGUGUCCAAACUGGAUCCUAAUUAGGUUCUCUACCUACAAGGCAGGCUCUGAAGGCCAUGGUGGAGGCCAAGUAUGAGUCGGCUAAGAAGAAGGUCAAGGCUAAAGUAGAAAAGGUGGCUGCUGUUAGCCUUACUUCUGACAUGUGGACAUACAUCAAUGGGGAUGCCUACCUGGCUGUAACAUGCCAUUUUGUGGGUGAGAAAACCGCACUCAGUUCAGUGCUGUUAGGAGUGCAGGGAUUCCCCCAAUCACACACUGCUGAAAAUAUAGCUUGUGUGAAAGCCUCCUUGAUAGAGGAAUGGGAAUUGCUAGUUAGGUGACAUGUAUGGUCACUGAUGGUGCUCCCAAUAUGGUUGUCUGUGUGAGAGAGCUGAAGCUUCGGCACCAUAUUUGCAUUGCACACACACUGAAUCUGAAAUUGAAGAAGGCACUUGACCAGCAGCCUGUGCUCUCUGGCAUCCGGGCCAAAGCACGGAAGCUGGUUGGCUUCUUUAGAAGCAGCACCAGUGCUAAGGAGAAGCUCACACAAGUGCAACUUUAUCUGGGGAUGGGCAAACAUGAAGCUAAUGCAAGAAGUGGAGACCAGAUUGAACAGCACAUAUUUGAUGCUGCAACGUUUGGUGGAGCACAGUGCUGUAGUGGUAAAAUUAGAGUGCACGACCGGCGAACACAGAGCGCGCGACUACUACAUGAAACCGGUCCGUGAGGUAAGAAAGGUUGGGGACCACUGGGCUGAUCCACAGCGUGUAUGUGCCUCCUGGAUCCUGAUUGGGGUCGCUGCUGCAGCCGCAAGGCACUGAUUGGAUGCUCACAGACCGUAAUACAGCGCAGAUGAAAAUGAUUCAGACUACGGCGUUUAUAUGUUUAACAAUAGGAAACGUAGUCUUAGCUGUUUUAAAAUUACACCAAUUUUAUUUCGGAUUUUUCCAACGGAAGAAUACAAGGCGCAGGGAACUUUGAGGUGCGUAAACGCUAUUUAUAGGUGCGUAAACCCUUUUUCCCAAAUUCUCGAGGUGCAUAAAUGGCGUUUACCCGUUAAAAAUAAACAUUUUUAAAUCUGUCGUUUUUUUUUCAACAACAAUAAACAAUAUACAGAAAUGCUACUUAAUCUGGCAAUACACAAUUUUUAUCCUAAACAAUGGGAAAGUG